AUGGAGAGUUUGAUCCUGGCUCAGGAUGAACGCUAGCGGCAGGCUUAAUACAUGCAAGUCGAACGGCAGCGGCACCUUCGGGUGGCCGGCGAGUGGCGCACGGGUGAGUAACGCGUACAAAACCUACCUUUUACUGGGGGAAAGUCGCUGGAAACGGCGAAUAAUCCCGCAUAAGACCACAGUGUCGCAUGGCACAGAGGUUAAAGGCUUCGGUCGGUAAAAGAUGGUUGUGCGUUCCAUUAGCUAGAUGGUAGGGUAACGGCCUACCAUGGCGACGAUGGGUAGGGGGCGUGAGAGCGUGAUCCCCCACACGGGUACUGAGACACGGACCCGACUCCUACGGGAGGCAGCAGUAAGGAAUAUUGGACAAUGGGUGAGAGCCUGAUCCAGCCAUGCCGCGUGCAGGAAGACUGCCCUACGGGUUGUAAGCUGCU
This 434-nucleotide ribosomal RNA is filed under the name Flavobacteriales bacterium UBA4585. RNAcentral's name for it is "bacterial SSU rRNA". It matches the Rfam family "Bacterial small subunit ribosomal RNA", at positions 1 to 434 of the family's 1533-position model. The record is from RNAcentral. Lineage: Bacteria; Pseudomonadati; Bacteroidota; Flavobacteriia; Flavobacteriales.